This 475-nucleotide ribosomal RNA is filed under the name uncultured organism. Its description in RNAcentral is "partial 16S ribosomal RNA". It matches the Rfam family "Bacterial small subunit ribosomal RNA", at positions 334 to 800 of the family's 1533-position model. The record is from RNAcentral.
CACUCCUGCGGGAGGCAGCAGUGGGGAAUUUUGGACAAUGGGCGAAAGCCUGAUCCAGCAAUGCCGCGUGAGUGAAGAAGGCCUUCGGGUUGUAAAGCUCUUUUGUCAGGGAAGAAACGGUGAAAGCUAAUAUCUUUUGCUAAUGACGGUACCUGAAGAAUAAGCACCGGCUAACUACGUGCCAGCAGCCGCGGUAAUACGUAGGGUGCAAGCGUUAAUCGGAAUUACUGGGCGUAAAGCGUGCGCAGGCGGUUUUGUAAGUCUGAUGUGAAAUCCCCGGGCUCAACCUGGGAAUUGCAUUGGAGACUGCAAGGCUAGAAUCUGGCAGAGGGGGGUAGAAUUCCACGUGUAGCAGUGAAAUGCGUAGAUAUGUGGAGGAACACCGAUGGCGAAGGCAGCCCCCUGGGUCAAGAUUGACGCUCAUGCACGAAAGCGUGGGGAGCAAACAGGAUUAGAUACCCGUGUAGUCCCAUGA